RNAcentral lists this ribosomal RNA (280 nucleotides) under uncultured bacterium. Its description in RNAcentral is "partial 16S ribosomal RNA". It matches the Rfam family "Bacterial small subunit ribosomal RNA", at positions 506 to 784 of the family's 1533-position model. The record is from RNAcentral.
UGCCAGCCGCCGCGGUAAUACGGAGGGUGCAAUCGUUAAUCGGAAUUACUGGGCGUAAAGCGCGCGUCGGCGGUUGUCUAAGCUAGAUGUGCACAGCCCUGGGCUUAACCUGGGAACUGCAUUUAGAACUGGGCAGCUAGAGUACAGCAGAGGAGUGUGGAAUUUCAGGUGUAGCGGUGAAAUGCGUAGAGAUCUGAAGGAACAUCAGUGGCGAAGGCGACACUCUGGGUUGAUACUGACGCUGAUGUGCGACAGCGUGGGGAGCAAACAUGAUUAGAUA